AAAUCGAAGAUGAGGUUACACGACAAGUGGCUCAGUGCAAAUGUGCAAAAAGGUUUCAGGUGGAGCAGAUCGGAGAGAAUAAAUACCGGUUUGGGGAUUCUCAGCAGUUGCGGCUGGUCCGUAUUCUGCGCAGCACCGUGAUGGUCCGCGUUGGUGGAGGAUGGAUGGCCUUGGAUGAAUUUUUAGUGAAAAAUGAUCCCUGCCGAGCACGAGGUAGAACUAACAUUGAACUUAGAGAGAAAUUCAUCCUACCAGAGGGAGCAUCCCAGGGAAUGACCCCCUUCCGCUCACGGGGUCGAAGGUCCAAACCAUCUUCCCGGGCAGCUUCCCCUACUCGUUCCAGCUCCAGUGCUAGUCAGAGUAACCACAGCUGUACAUCCAUGCCAUCUUCUCCAGCCACCCCAGCCAGUGGAACCAAGGUACGUACUGAUCUCCAUUAUGCUCUUCUUCCCCACUCCCACCCUCGCAGAUGUUCAUUGUUCAUGGUAGCCUCUGAAAGACUCCAGUGAGGAGAAGAAAUAAAAAU
Molecule: small RNA, 526 nt
Filed under: Pongo abelii (Sumatran orangutan)
Lineage: Eukaryota; Metazoa; Chordata; Mammalia; Primates; Hominidae
Description: processed transcript
Source: RNAcentral